CAGUCGCCACUGUAAUACGUAGGUGGCAAGCGUUGUCCGGAUUUAUUGGGCGUAAAGCGAGCGCAGGCGGUUCCUUAAGUCUGAUGUGAAAGCCCACGGCUCAACCGUGGAAGGUCAUUGGAAACUGGGGAACUUGAGUGCAGAAGAGGAGAGUGGAAUUCCAUGUGUAGCGGUGAAAUGCGUAGAUAUAUGGAGGAACACCAGUGGCGAAGGCGACUCUCUGGUCUGUAACUGACGCUGAGGCUCGAAAGCGUGGGGAGCAAACAGGAUUAGAUACCCCGGUAGUCCCUGUCUCUUAUAC
Molecule: ribosomal RNA, 301 nt
Filed under: uncultured bacterium
Lineage: Bacteria
Description: partial 16S ribosomal RNA
Rfam family: Bacterial small subunit ribosomal RNA
Source: RNAcentral